Molecule: long non-coding RNA, 366 nt
Filed under: Cucumis sativus (cucumber)
Lineage: Eukaryota; Viridiplantae; Streptophyta; Magnoliopsida; Cucurbitales; Cucurbitaceae
Description: long non-coding RNA (CSAT_LNC002040)
Source: RNAcentral
CAACUCCCAAUAUUUCUACUUCUCCUUCCCUCCAACUCAACUUGAUGGGUCCAAAACUAUAUGUAAAUACAACUCAGGUAAACCCUAACCACUCAUGUACUUAACUUUCAAGUCUAGCUUGUGGCGACUUCUUCAAACCUGUGAUUUGAAGUAUGCAAAGAUAUUUAUAGGUUAUAGCAGAUAACAGACCAGUUACAGGAAUGAGAUUAUAUCUUGAAGGCAUGAAAUCAAACAGGUAACAAAUGUAAUAAAUUCUUUAGUAUAAUAACUGCUGUGAAUUACCGUUGAGCUAAAUUUAAAGUUUGUAUUUGUAGGUUGGCCAUUCACAUCCAACACCUUCUAACUACUCCUCUUCUUCUUGAAAAC